Molecule: long non-coding RNA, 524 nt
Organism: Homo sapiens (human)
Lineage: Eukaryota; Metazoa; Chordata; Mammalia; Primates; Hominidae
Gene: NRXN3-AS3
Product: NRXN3 antisense RNA 3
Exons: 5
Source: RefSeq, a predicted model, not a curated record
UCAAGCUAGUUCUCCUGCGACCUAGACCUAGGUUUCAGAACUGGGGCAAUGAUACCACGGGAAGGCAGGUGUGAUGUUGUCUUCUCCCAAGGACCUUCUCCAACCACACUACUCGAAGUGUGUCCAGAAUUGGUGGGCUCUUGGUCUCGCUGACUUCAAGAAUGAAGCCGUGGACCCUCGCGAUUAAACAAGUGCAACUUUCCCAAUCUCACACAACUACUUGUGGAGCCAGGAUUCCAUACAGGCAAUCUUCCACUGAGGAAGAAGAAGAGAGAAGAUUGAAGAGGUGGACCGGCUGCACAUUUCAUCAUGAAGAUUUAUCCGGAGGUUGGGGUGUAACAUUUAUGAUCUGUCUGGAGAAGAACAGAGAAGGUUUAGGACUAUUACUUAAGAGAGAAGGUGUGAUGCAACAGAGAAAGUAGAACAAGGUAGUUUUAAUUUUUUUCCUUACAAGAGAAAUAAUCUCCACUCUAGAAGAAUCACAACACAGAUGCUUAUCAGGGAGAUAAGUUCCAGAUAGAAGA